ACACGUAGGGGGCGAGCGUUGUUCGGAAUCAUUGGGCGUAAAGGGCGUGCAGGCGGUCCUGCAAGUCCGGCGUGAAAGACCCCGGCCCAACCGGGGGGACGCGCUGGAAACUGCGGGGCUUGAGUACAGGAGGGGAUGCCGGAAUUCCAGGUGUAGGGGUGAAAUCUGUAGAUAUCUGGAAGAACACCAAUGGCGAAGGCAGGCAUCUGGCCAUGUACUGACGCUGAGACGCGAAGGUGCGGGGAGCAAACAGGUUUAGAUACCCUGGUAGUCCGCACAGUAAACGAUGUGCACCAGGUGGCGGGGGGUCGACCCUCGGUACCGUAGCUAACGCAUUAAGUGCACCGCCUGGGGAGUAUGCUCGCAAGGGUGAAACUCAAAUGAAUUG
This 388-nucleotide ribosomal RNA is filed under the name uncultured bacterium. RNAcentral's name for it is "partial 16S ribosomal RNA". It matches the Rfam family "Bacterial small subunit ribosomal RNA", at positions 523 to 912 of the family's 1533-position model. The record is from RNAcentral.